Molecule: ribosomal RNA, 312 nt
Filed under: uncultured bacterium
Lineage: Bacteria
Description: bacterial SSU rRNA
Rfam family: Bacterial small subunit ribosomal RNA
Source: RNAcentral
GACAAACGCUAGCGGCGUGUAUUAGGCAUGCAAGUCGCACGGUCGCCUCGCAAGAGGUGGCAGUGGCGGACGGGUGAGUAACACGUGGGUAACCUGCCUCGCAGUGGGGAACUAACUCGCCGAAAGGCGAGCUAAUACCGCAUACCACUCUCGGUGAGAAUCCGAGCAGUAAAAGUAGCGAUGCGCUGUGAGAGGGGCCCGCGGCCGAUUAGCUUGUUGGUAGGGAACGCCUACCAAGGCAACGACGGGUAGCUGGUCUGAGAGGACGAUCAGCCACACUGGCACUGAGACACGGCCCAGACUCCUACGGGA